Molecule: ribosomal RNA, 162 nt
Filed under: Hordeum murinum subsp. leporinum
Lineage: Eukaryota; Viridiplantae; Streptophyta; Magnoliopsida; Poales; Poaceae
Description: 5.8S ribosomal RNA
Rfam family: 5.8S ribosomal RNA
About the family: 5.8S ribosomal RNA (5.8S rRNA) is a component of the large subunit of the eukaryotic ribosome. It is transcribed by RNA polymerase I as part of the 45S precursor that also contains 18S and 28S rRNA.
Source: RNAcentral
ACGACUCUCGGCAACGGAUAUCUCGGCUCUCGCAUCGAUGAAGAACGUAGCGAAAUGCGACUACCUGGUGUGAAUUGCAGAAUCCCGCGAACCAUCGAGUCUUUGAACGCAAGUUGCGCCCGAGGCCACUCGGCCGAGGGCACGCCCGCCUGGGCGUCAUGC